AGUAAGUUGAUGGGGUCCCAGGUUGUGUGUCUGAAUCUCCCGGGACUACUUCAACUACUUG
Molecule: microRNA precursor, 61 nt
Filed under: Melibe leonina
Lineage: Eukaryota; Metazoa; Mollusca; Gastropoda; Nudibranchia; Dendronotidae
Description: microRNA mle-mir-1990 precursor
Source: miRBase by way of RNAcentral